This is a non-coding RNA of Phascolarctos cinereus (koala), 1267 nucleotides long. Lineage: Eukaryota; Metazoa; Chordata; Mammalia; Diprotodontia; Phascolarctidae. The record is from RefSeq and is a predicted model, not a curated record.
CAGGGAAGCGCGUGAGCUGCGUUCUCGGGGUCCUGGGGUAGAGGAAAGAAAGGGAGCGCGUGCCAGGGAGUGCGCGCGGCCUCCGCGGGCCUCGGCUUGAUGACUGCGGCGUUGUGGGGAAGCCUAGCCCUUGCCCUUGACAAUGCUGCGACACGCAGCAGCCCAGGAACGGGCCCCGGGGAGCCCCGCGCGCGCUGCGGCUGCCGUGCUCGCGAUGAGAAGACUGGCAGGCCAGGAUUCAAACUCGUGUCUUCUGAUCCCUGCAUCACACUGCCUUCCUUUUGAGGUUACCCACAGAUGUCUGUAAUGCACUUCCUCCUUGUCUUUGCCUCUCAGAAUCCUUAUCUUCAAUCAAGACUCAGCUUAGGUGUCACUUCAUCCAUGAAGUUUUCUCUAAUUUCCUUCCAGUUUUUAGUCCUUUCUCCCCUCAAUGUUCCUUGUACUGUACUUACCCAGGUACCUAUUGUUCUCCCUAGAAUAGGGAGAUGAGAACAGUUUGUUCUGAUGGCCAUAAAGGUGGCUGAAGCAGGUGCCAUGGAGUGCUUAGAGCCUGGUCUGACAUCAAAGAUGCUGAGGUCAUCUGCUGCAUCCUGGGUCACUGCCAAUCGUCUUGACUUUUGUCUUGUCCUUGGACAUCGAUGACUCUGGAAGAGAGAGUGAGGCUGACAACUUUGUGCAACCCUGCCUCACUUAAAUCCGAUUCAUGAAGCAGUCAAGCCAUCACCGGUGGAUGUCACUGGUCCUCUUUGAAAAUGAAGGACAAACAGCAUUCUCCCUGGUACAAUGCCAGUUCUUUGACGGCAGGCGCUGUAGUCUGUGUCUUUGUAUCCCCAGCUCUUAGCACAAUGUCUUACAUGUAGUAAUUGCUUAAUACAAGUUUGUUAAACUGAAUUGAAUUACUGAGAGUAUAGAUUUAUCAAAGCACCAAAGUAAACAAAGCUUGUUUCAUAUUCAUAUCUUGCUAGCCUGAAGGCUUGCAUGGGAACUAAUAGUCCUUUCUUUUUUUGUGACCAUCUAGACACAUGUCAAAUUCUGAUAAAUCCAGGGGAAACUUUAGUGGGGUGGGAAGCAAAAUGAGCCAAAUUCUGAUUUUUUUAAGGGAAAAUCUGGGUAGGAGCAUUAGCCAUCAAGUUAUUAUUGAGAAGCCUUCAAGAUGUAAUAGGGAAUCAUGUGAACUUAGAAUUCCAGGUCUGAUAAGCUGUAUUUGUAAUGCCAUAACUCAGCACAGCACCUUGUAACAUAAUAAAUGGUAAUUGAAUUGAAUGUA